Pteropus alecto (black flying fox) is the source of this 3352-nucleotide long non-coding RNA. RefSeq lists it as uncharacterized. NCBI's taxonomy places the organism in Eukaryota, Metazoa, Chordata, Mammalia, Chiroptera, Pteropodidae. The transcript is spliced from 3 exons. The record is from RefSeq and is a predicted model, not a curated record.
CCUUGGGUGCUCCCCAGAACAGGAAGAAGGCCAAAGCUGUACCCCGUAAGGGUUAAAGGUCACCCAUCCCACAAUCUGUGUUUCUGUCCCUUUUAUGAAGGGCCGGCUGGUCAUGCAGGUCCCCUUGACCCUGCUCCAGUGUCCCCACCACAAACCUCCAACAGUAAAAAGUACCAGGAGCCAAACACGCGAUGACUCAGUUGCUCUGAAUCAAGCAAAUGGAUUUUCCUUAAAUGUGAAAAUCAAUAAGAGCUUAGAGCCAGUCUCCAGUGGGGACAAGAGGCUGUCAGCCAGAGGACUGAAGUCGAAGUGACAAGUGGGUUUUAAUACGUCAGCCUGGAACCUGUUGUUGCCCCAUAGCUGUUCAGAUGGGGCUCGAGGUGGCCUUCGGGAGCCCCAGGAAGUGGAGUCAGUGACAUUUUCAGGCCCAGCUGGCUUCCUUGGGGGCCCUGCCAUCAGACCUCCUUCCAUGAGGCCCGGGAGGGACCGUGAAGACGGGAUGUGAAGACAGCACAUUGCUCUAUUUUCUUGGGCGUUUAAUAAACGUUAUUAACGCCUCUGAGGCAGAGUCCAGGGAGCGCCGGCCCCCCCCCCGCCCCCCGCACAGCGGAAAAACACCAGAGCCAUGGUGCAGGGCGGCUGCUUGCUGGAGCGCGUCACCUCAGUUUGCUCAUCAGUAAAAGGGGGUGUUGAUGCCCAGGGGACAACACUAACCACCAGCAAGGCUCCGGGGAAAGUUCGGUGAGAUAAUGGAGGAGAAAGGGGUUUAUACGGUUCCCCGCAACUAUGAGCAAAGUGAGGUUAUCGCGCAAGGCACUGCUCCUGUCCCUGUCCCUCCUCCCCACGCAGCCCCCGGCAGUCUGGGCAUGGGCUCCGUGCUCGAAAACCCGUGUCUGAGUGAUGGACCUCCGCGUCCACUGGUCGCCUUGUCCUUUGCAGCUCCAUUCAUUAACCAGCAGGGGGCUUCAUGCCGGGUUGGCGUUGUCCCCUAUGUGGCCCCUCAGGCUGCAGGCCUGGUCUCAGGGCCCCCAGUAAGAAGGGCCCUCUGCGUCGACUGCCCGAGCUUACGAGGACCUGGGAGAAGAGUCUGUAGGUGCUGUAAUGAGAGCUCCACGAGAGCGAGCGAGUCCCUGCCUCGUCAUGAAGAUGUGUCCCUCCCUCUCUGUCGGUCACCAGGAAGGGAGAGGAGCUGAAACCCAUCACAGUGUUUUUCCAGAGAUGGCUUUUGAAGAGAGCUGUUUCUCUAAGGGGCCAAGAGGGGAGGGGUGGGGUUGGCGGGGACAAACGUCCCCCCCCCCAUGAAGCCUGGCUUGGCUGUGGCGAUGCCGGAGGCGGUGACAGUCCACGCUCAAGCAGCACUGCCCGUGCCCACUGCUGUUCUAAGCGCUGCCUGUACGUAUGUCAACCUGUGGAAUCCUGGCAGUGCCCCUCUGAAACGGGGGUCAUUUUCACCUCCAUUUUAUAGGUGAAGGUGGGCGGGGCCAGAAGAGGGGCCAUGAGGGUCUGGGGCCCAGGCCGUGCACCCGGGGACGCAGAACAGGCUUCGGAGUCGCCGCCGCAGCCCAGUCUCACUGCAUCCUAAGCGUGUGACCAGAACGCUGGCCUCUUCCCAUUAAACAGAAGCCGCCCCAUGCCCCAUGCCUGGCUGGUGGGGGCGGGGCUUGAUGAGGAGAUGCAGGUGAAGCUCUGGACCAGGGCCCAGCACACACGAGAGCCCUUCCCUCUAAUCCGUCUGUGGUUUGAGGCACUGAAGUGGCGAGAAACCAUUUGCAUCCGUGAGGAGCCAUCUGUCCAAGCCCGUCCACCCUGUCCACCCCGUCCACCCCAGCCUGCAGACAGCCGCUGGGAGCCAGGAUUCCGAGUUCCACCCGGCAGAGGCCUGAGUUAGCCAGCCAGCCGGCCAGGACCGGAGGGGAGCUGGCUGCAGCCACCGGCUGGGCAGCAGGACCGGAGGAGGGGCCAGGGGCGGCUCCCGAGCUGCUGGCCAGUGAGGCUGGCCAGGGCCCCACGUCGGGGCUUCCAGGACAAGGGACUCUGGACGCUGCUCCCAGUGUCCCCUUGUGCCCGCCCCGCAGGUCUGAGGUGUGUGGGUGACUGCUGGCCCGCCGAGGCGGAGGAUGUGCCAAGCAGCCGUGGGACCGCCGAGCUCGCACCUGCCGCCUAGCCAGCUGCCCUCCCCCUGCUGCUGGAAGGCGGCCAUGCCCGGCUUUGCCCGAGUUCUCUCCGAAGGCAGGUGGGAAGGCGACCGGGUCACCGCGCCACGCGGGGUUCCAGGGAGCCUCGGCUGCAGACUAGGGCCCUCUUCUGCUGCUUCAGAGGCACGUCGGUCCCUCAGGGCCUCACUAGUCCUCUGGCCACCCCACCGCCUGGGGGGGCGGGGCGGGGACUGAGGAGCCAGGAGAGGGCGGAAGUCUUGAAUGGCACCCGCUGGCUCCCCUGGGAGGCGGGGUGCUGUGGGAACUAGCAGCGCAGCCCGGAGGGCUGGGGCUGGGGCGCGCGGGGCGCUGGAUGAGGCUCAGGCCAGAAACGAGAGCAGGGCCGGGUGCGUGGCUUCGGCCGCUGGCGCUGCCCUGGCGGACUCUCGUUCCCCACCCGCCGCCAGGGGCGUGGGAGGCUGCGUGGGACGCUGCGCACGCGGCUGCGCGCUUGGCCCGUCCACGGGGAGCCUGGGGACAGCGCACCCAGAAACGCCAGGUCUCUGCGAACAUCUCCGCAAAGCAAAUCCGAGCCACACGUCGCCCGACGCCUAGACCUGCGCAACACGCUGCGUGUGCCAACGCACAUCAAAGCUCGGGGCAGAGCUCCAGAUGGUGACGUGGCCUCGCCGUUGGCCGCAUCACGCGUCGCUGGCUUUCCCCGCCCCCGCCCCGUUCAGGGACCGGCCCGGCCGCCGGAGUCCGCGAUGCUCAGAGCGGCGCCAAGGCCUCAACACCGCGAAGCGGCCCUGGCGGCCGGAGACAGCGCGCAUGUGGCAGCGGCUGCAGCCAGAUGCGGGGCACUGCUGACCCCUGCUGGCGCCUUUCCCCCUGCGGCCCCGGGGAGGAGGGGGCGGGGCGCGGGGACAGGGAGCCCGCCCUGGAGGAUGCAGCGUUGGAAAAACCUUGCAACCCGUCUGGGCGGCGUGGGAAGCAACGCCCUAGCUCAGAAGCCCCCGGCGGGGAGCUCCUCCGAUGAGACGGAGAAGGAUGGGAAUAAACCCCAGACGGGGAUCCGGGCGGAGAGACACGGACUAGCCGCGCGUCCUCAGCCUCGGUGGCUGCGAAGGCUCCCGGCUGCCAGUCAAGGGGCUGGGAAGCCCCUUGAGCCUAAAACUGGGAAGCGGUGAGCAGCACCGCACCAGCCAAGCUCAACC